CUGCCGAUCGCACCCUGUCAGGUCCAUCCUCGUUCUCCAGCGAUGCUCCUGCCGGAGGUUCCGCCGCUCUCUGUCCAUUGCCCAACUCCGGCGCCGCCGCCUCCUCGCCCCCUCUAGACAACAUUAAAUCUUGAAGUAGACCUACCCCCUCCGUCGCCCCCUUCCCCAAUACGUCUCGACGGCGGCGGCCUCCCUCCGAUCCGUUUCCUUGUGCGGGCGGGCGGCUUCGCAGAGCAUUUCUACCCACCGCCGAACCGGCGUGGAUCUCGGGCACCGAAUUGGCCACCGGUGUUGCGGAGGGGCUUUAUCUGGCGAUCGGCAUGAGGGAGGGGCGAGCGAGGGAGGCGAUGAGGGCACGGCGUCGCUGUGCUGCCACGGGGAGCGGUGACUAUCCCAACGUCCCCAACGUCACUAUGACCACAACGAAGCUCCGUUGCCCCGACUAGCGCUGUCGGUUCGCCUGGUCGCAUCCUACACGACCCGCGGCCGGCGACGAUCACUGCGGUUGGAGCCUCCUCUCCAGCAGUCCAGCCUAGUUCGUCGUCUGCAGUGAAGCAUUGUACUUGUUCCCGGUGAUGAUGCAAGUGCAACCAUGUUCUCAAAUAGGAGCAUUUGCUAGCUUCACCUAGGUGAUGGAGGCAAGGCUUUGCUAGACGCAGAGGAAUGCCAAAAUAAGCUGUACUCUUUGGGAAGCUCAGGUCUGUACAGCCUACAGGAUACCGGAUUGCUGUUAUUGUGUAUCCGUCUUUCAUAGUUGUUUUGCAAAGUGCUUGAAUUUUAGGGAACUCAAGAGUACAUAUUUAGUCCUCACUAGAUGGACUUGGAGCUUGCAAGCAGACAAAGUUGAAGAUGAUGAAGAGCUUAGAAACAAGUUGUGACUUAAGGUUGCAAAGCUGGGGAACCCUUUUAGUCUUAAUCUAUGGCGAAGCAGAUUUGCCAUUCAUGUUGGUAAGAUACCAUGCUAAGUAUACUCCGUUUAGAUGGACAUGUUUAGGACAAGCAAGCUACACUAUGCGUUAAGUUUGUCUCUGUGAAUCCCUUAUAGCUAAGUUCCAUUGAGCUGUAUAAACAUAUGUCCGUUGUAUCCUUUACAGAAGAGAGGUGCUUCCAUGAACAAUGAAACUUGUCCGUUAUAUCGAAA
This is a long non-coding RNA of Lolium perenne, 1141 nucleotides long. RefSeq lists it as uncharacterized. The record is from RefSeq and is a predicted model, not a curated record. Lineage: Eukaryota; Viridiplantae; Streptophyta; Magnoliopsida; Poales; Poaceae.